RNAcentral lists this ribosomal RNA (510 nucleotides) under uncultured bacterium. RNAcentral describes it as "partial 16S ribosomal RNA". It matches the Rfam family "Bacterial small subunit ribosomal RNA", at positions 28 to 507 of the family's 1533-position model. The record is from RNAcentral.
GACGAACGCUGGCGGCGUGCUUAACACAUGCAAGUCGAACGAAGAGCGAUGGAAGCUUGCUUCUAUCAAUCUUAGUGGCGAACGGGUGAGUAACGCGUAAUCAACCUGCCCUUCAGAGGGGGUCAACAGUUGGAAACGACUGCUAAUACCGCAUACGAUCUGACCUCGGCAUCGAGGAUAGAUGAAAGGUGGCCUCUACAUGUAAGCUAUCACUGAAGGAGGGGAUUGCGUCUGAUUAGCUAGUUGGAGGGGUAACGGCCCACCAAGGCGAUGAUCAGUAGCCGGUCUGAGAGGAUGAACGGCCACAUUGGGACUGAGACACGGCCCAGACUCCUACGGGAGGCAGCAGUGGGGAAUCUUCCGCAAUGGACGAAAGUCUGACGGAGCAACGCCGCGUGAGUGAUGACGGCCUUCGGGUUGUAAAGCUCUGUUAAUCGGGACGAAAGGCCUUUUUGCGAAUAGUGAGAGGGAUUGACGGUACCGGAAUAGAAAGCCACGGCUAACUACGUG